Molecule: long non-coding RNA, 190 nt
Organism: Helianthus annuus (common sunflower)
Lineage: Eukaryota; Viridiplantae; Streptophyta; Magnoliopsida; Asterales; Asteraceae
Exons: 3
Source: RefSeq, a predicted model, not a curated record
UGCCAAGAAUCACCAAAUUGAAGGGCAGAACUAGCUCAAAUCAGAUGCAUGAACACGAAUUCAUGAUCACCUAGUCAUGGGGAUUACAAGAUGGAGGCUUGGGCAAGGAGCGGGUCAAACGGAUCGGGUACGCGAAAAAGGAGCAUAACCGGAUGCAAGGAGCAAUUAACGAUUCGGAUACUCCCGUCAC